GACGAACGCUGGCGGCGUGCCUAAUACAUGCAAGUAGGACGCAGUUGCGAACGGGUGAGUAACGCGUAGGUAACUACCUAUUAGAGGGGGAUAACUAUUGGAAACGAUAGCUAAUACCGCAUACUAGUAGAUGGACCUGCGUUGUAUUAGCUAGUAGGUAGGGUAAUGGCCUACCUAGGCAACGAUACAUAGGCGACCCGAGAGGGUUAGUCGCCAAAAUGGGAAUUAAGAAACGGCCAGGCUCCUACGGGAAGCAGCAGGAGGGAAACUUCGGCAAAUGGGGGAACCCUUGACGGGGAAAGGCGGGGUGGUUAAUGAAGGUUUCGGAUCGGAAAGCUUUGUUGUUAAGGGAGCGGUACUUAACCAGAAAGGGACGGCUAACUACGUGCCAGCAGCCGCGGUAAUAC
Molecule: ribosomal RNA, 407 nt
Filed under: uncultured bacterium
Lineage: Bacteria
Description: partial 16S ribosomal RNA
Rfam family: Bacterial small subunit ribosomal RNA
Source: RNAcentral